Long non-coding RNA from Homo sapiens (human), 1466 nucleotides. RefSeq lists it as uncharacterized. NCBI's taxonomy places the organism in Eukaryota, Metazoa, Chordata, Mammalia, Primates, Hominidae. The record is from RefSeq and is a predicted model, not a curated record. The transcript is spliced from 2 exons.
GCUGCAGAAAGGGAAUCCCAGACAGGGGUAACAGUAGAUGCAAAGGCCCCAUGGCAGGCACCAACUCAUACAGGUUUGCCCAGAACUUUCCCAGUUUUAACACUAGAAAUCCCAUGUCCUAGAAAACUUCUGAGUCUCAGCCAAGCUGGGAUGAUUUGCCUGGAACUGCCCCUGUUAUAAAACUGAGAGGUCUGUGCCCCACGACCCCCCUCAGUCCUGAGCAAGCUGAGACAGUGGAUUGCCCUAGACUGGAGCAACGUGCAUGACGGUGGGAAGAGCCAGUGACUCUCUUUCAUGUCCUCUCUCCCCUCAACCUCAGGAGUCACCCAGGUGGGCACUGACAUCCAGGAUGAAAACUUCCCAGCAUCCCUUGCAGCAAGCAGUGGCCACGUGACCAGGCAGUGGCCAAUGCACAUGAGGCCAGUGCACAGCAACUGCCAUUAGAGGAAGGAAGAUUUGUGUCCUCUUGUUCUCUUCUCCCCUCCCUGCUGGCUGGCAGUAGAUAGGAUGGACACUGUGGGGGAAGCUACACCCUAAGGAAGUCAAAGCAGCAAGAUGGAAGUACCCUAAGACCCUGAAAAAUGCACAGAGAAGAAUCACCUGACUGGCUUGAACUUUCAUGUGAAAGGAAUGAACCUCUGUCUUAGUAAAGCCACCGUGAUUCAGGGUCCUUGUCACAUUCACUGAGGCUGUAACAUAAUUGUUAGAAAGAACAGGAGCGGGAGGGGGGAUGGAGUCGGAGAGGCAGGCAGAGGUCAGAUCACAUGGGGCCUGUAGGCCAAGGCGGAGGAAGAAACAGGCAACAUAGGACUCAAGGACCACACCUGCUCCCAGGCAAAGGGAGUUUGCUGUGGGUGCCCCUCCCUGUCUGUGUGUCCAGUGUGUGGCUAUUAUUUAUACCUUGCCCAUAUUGUACAAAUACUUUUUUCUAUUCAAUAUUUAGAAGACAUUACAUUAAAUAGCAAGAUGGCAGAUGAACAUCAGGAAGGAACAUUAGGAACAUCCACAGUGUUCCAUCCAGGAACCUUCACCGUGGAAACCCUUGUGCUCAUGGGCGUGGUCUCAAGACACAGUCAGCUGUUGGGGAUCAGAGGCCACACUCAUCGUAGCAGAGAGGCAGGACCAACUGGGAGAGGGUCCUUCUGUGACACCUACUGCAUCACCGGGCUGUGUGAAGUGACUCAGCUGCCAGAACUCACACAAUAUCAUUCUACACCAAAACCUCAUGGGAAAAAUGCUCCACGACCCUCAGGCUUAAACAGCAGUACUGGCCCCUCCCCAGAUCUCCAGCUCCCUGACCCUCAAACUCCAACUGCAGCACCAGCUCCGCCCCGGGUCUCCAGCUCCACAAUCCUCAAACUACAACAGCAGCACCAGCUCCCCUGUGGAUCUCCAGCUCAAUGACUCUCAGACUUGGGAGGCGGCACCGGCUCCCCACCAAGCCUCCAGCUCCACAACCUUCAAAC